AUACGGAGGGUGCGAGCGUUAAUCGGAAUUACUGGGCGUAAAGCGUACGUAGGUGGUUGGUUAAGUUAGAUGUGAAAGCCCCGGGCUUAACCUGGGAACUGCAUUUAAAACUGACGAACUAGAGUUGAGUAGAGGGGAGUGGAAUUUCAGGUGUAGCGGUGAAAUGCGUAGAGAUCUGAAGGAACACCAGUGGCGAAGGCGACUCCCUGGACUCGAACUGACGCUGAGGUACGAAAGCGUGGGUAGCAAACGGGAUUAGAAACCCCAGUAGUCC
RNAcentral lists this ribosomal RNA (274 nucleotides) under uncultured bacterium. Its description in RNAcentral is "partial 16S ribosomal RNA". It matches the Rfam family "Bacterial small subunit ribosomal RNA", at positions 523 to 796 of the family's 1533-position model. The record is from RNAcentral.